This 860-nucleotide ribosomal RNA is filed under the name uncultured bacterium. Its description in RNAcentral is "bacterial SSU rRNA". It matches the Rfam family "Bacterial small subunit ribosomal RNA", at positions 51 to 877 of the family's 1533-position model. The record is from RNAcentral.
ACACAUGCAAGUCGAACGGGAAGAGAUGAAGAGCUUGCUCUUUAUCGAAUCCAGUGGCAAACGGGUGAGUAACACGUAAACAACCUGCCUUCAGGAUGGGGACAACAGACGGAAACGACUGCUAAUACCGAAUACGUUCCACGGGCCGCAUGACCUGUGGAAGAAAGGGUAGCCUCUACCUGUAAGCUAUCGCCUGAAGAGGGGUUUGCGUCUGAUUAGGCAGUUGGUGAGGUAACGGCUCACCAAACCAACGAUCAGUAGCCGGUCUGAGAGGAUGAACGGCCACACUGGAACUGAGACACGGUCCAGACUCCUACGGGAGGCAGCAGUGGGGAAUCUUCCGCAAUGGACGAAAGUCUGACGGAGCAACGCCGCGUGAGUGAAGACGGCCUUCGGGUUGUAAAGCUCUGUGAUCCGGGACGAAAGAGCCUGAGGUAAAUAGCCUGAGGAAGUGACGGUACCGGAAAAGCAAGCCACGGCUAACUACGUGCCAGCAGCCGCGGUAAUACGUAGGUGGCAAGCGUUGUCCGGAAUUAUUGGGCGUAAAGCGCGCGCAGGCGGCUUACUAAGUCCAUCUUAAAAGUGCGGGGCUUAACCCCGUGAUGGGAUGGAAACUGGAAAGCUGGAGUAUCGGAGAGGAAAGUGGAAUUCCUAGUGUAGCGGUGAAAUGCGUAGAGAUUAGGAAGAACACCGGUGGCGAAGGCGACUUUCUGGACGAAAACUGACGCUGAGGCGCGAAAGCGUGGGGAGCAAACAGGAUUAGAUACCCUGGUAGUCCACGCCGUAAACGAUGGAUACUAGGUGUAGGAGGUAUCGACUCCUUCUGUGCCGGAGUUAACGCAAUAAGUAUCCCGCCUGGG